Molecule: ribosomal RNA, 463 nt
Filed under: uncultured bacterium
Lineage: Bacteria
Description: partial 16S ribosomal RNA
Rfam family: Bacterial small subunit ribosomal RNA
Source: RNAcentral
GACGAACGCUGGCGGCGUGCUUAACACAUGCAAGUCGAACGGAAAGGCCUUUUCGGAGGUACUCGAGUGGCGAACGGGUGAGUAACACGUGGGUGAUCUGCCCUGCACUCUGGGAUAAGCCUGGGAAACUGGGUCUAAUACCGGAUAGGACCGCACUUUAGUGUGUGUGGUGGAAAGUUUUUUCGGUGUAGGAUGAGCCCGCGGCCUAUCAGCUUGUUGGUGGGGUAAUGGCCUACCAAGGCGGCGACGGGUAGCCGGACUGAGAGGUUGGUCGGCCACAUUGGGACUGAGAUACGGCCCAGACUCCGACGGGAGGCAGCAGUGGGGAAUAUUGCACAAUGGGCGCAAGCCUGAUGCAGCGACGCCGCGGGGGGGAGGACGGCCUUCGGGUUGUAAACUCCUUUCGCCAGGGACGAAGCGUUUUGUGACGGUACCUGGAGAAGAAGCACCGGCUAACUACGUG